UUUUUUUUUUUUUUUUUUUGUUUUUUGAGAUAGAGUCUUGCUCUGUUGCCCAGGCUGGAGUGCAGUGGCACAAUCCACUAGGCCAUAGCCAGUUGCACUGUGAAGGAGUCAAAGGGAAUACUCCCUUAGUUGAGGGAAGAUGUUACUACAUCUAGAGUGAUGAAACUUUAGUUUUCAUUGUUCUAAAAUUACAAUGGGAAUAUGGACGUUUCUCCUUAUGGGUAUUUUGAAUAUUUUAGAAUCUAUAUAUUCCAUUUAUCUUUUUAUGGAGCUUAAUUCUGAGAGACACGUGAAAACCUGAAUGUUACUGAUUUUCAGGGUUUUUUUUUUCCUUUUUUCUUUUUUAUUAUACUUUAAGUUCUAGGGUACAUGUGUACAACAUGCAGGUUUGUUACAUAUGUAUACAUGUGCCAUGUUGUUGUGCUGCACUCAUUAACUUGUCAUUUUCAUUAGGUAUAUCUCCUAAUGCUAUCCCUUCCCAUUCCUCCCACCCCACAACAGGCCCCGGUGUGUGAUGUUCCCUUUCCUGUGUCCAAGUGUUCUCAUUGUUCAGUUUCCACACCAUCAUUCUUAGCAAACUGUCGCAAGAACAGAAAACCAAACACCUCAGAUUUUCAGUUAUUUUAAAGAAAAUAAGCAUUAUCAAGAAAGUUUAAAAUGUAAAGUAACAAGAAUGUAAUUGCAGGGUAUCUAUCUGUAGCAAUCAUAUAUUCUACUUUGAAUGCUUUUGCAUGUUGAACUCUCAUCCUCUAUUGACCACUGAGGGCCAUGCAACUGUUAAGUAACAAUGCGAAAUUCCUGGCUAUCUCUGCAAUUUAGUUGAACAAUCAUCUAAUAUUUAUGCAGAAUCAUUAACUUAACUGGACAAGCAGGUUUCACAAUGUUACACACUCCGAGUUGAAGAAAAUUGUCCACCUUUGCAAUCCUAAAACAUUCAACAUAGCAAUGUAUAAGUGUAGGCAAACAGCACUGGGUGAAUAUAAACUUUGAGGAUGGACUAAUUUUUUUCCCCAUUGGGUACUAUAUUAACAAACAAGGUGCAAUAUAGUAGCCACUGAAUGAGAAGUCAGAUUUAGGGUGAGAGGUCACAUUGUAUUAUGUGGGAGUGAUUCCAGAAGUGCAUGGAACUCAGAGAAAAUGAAAACAAAGAGCAAAUGCGUAGGUGUCCUGAGUCAGCCAUGAGGGUGAUUAAUAGGGAGCUGCAUUAGGAAUAGUCCUCACAACCAAACUCCUUUCUUGUCCUUUUGUUUUGUUUAGCACUGGGCAACACUGUCUUUAUUUUAUUUAUUUAUUUAUUUAUUUGAGAUGGAGUCUCACUCUGUCACCCAGGCUGGAGUACAGUGGCACCAUCUCAGCUCACUGCAACCUCUGCCUUCCGGGUUCAAGCGAUUCUCC
Molecule: long non-coding RNA, 1395 nt
Filed under: Macaca fascicularis (crab-eating macaque)
Lineage: Eukaryota; Metazoa; Chordata; Mammalia; Primates; Cercopithecidae
Description: lncRNA (ENSMFAG00000050487.1)
Source: RNAcentral